RNAcentral lists this ribosomal RNA (133 nucleotides) under uncultured bacterium. RNAcentral's name for it is "partial 16S ribosomal RNA". The record is from RNAcentral.
ACGGAGUUAGCCGGUGCUUAUUCACCCGGUACCGUCAUCAUCUUCCCGGGUAAAAGGGUUUACAACCCGAAGGCCUUCAUCACCCACGCGGCGUCGCUGGAUCAGGGUUGCCCCCAUUGUCCAAGAUUCCCCA